GCCAGGAACCAGCGCCCACUGGGUGCCUUGCACACCAGCGGACCGCCCGAGUCGCCCUGCAAGGGAGAAAGGAGAGAGGACGGAAGCAGGUGCCUUGCGAUGGGCAAGGAGCGGAACCGCGUCUGAGCCUGACCUGCCUGUCACAUCUCUUCCGGUCUGUGGCUCUGCAACCUUGGGCAAGCUCCUCGGACCCUCCCCCAAGCCUCAGUCUCCUCUUCUGUAAAGUGGGGGCGGCCUUCGCCACCUUGCUGAGAGGAUGGGAGGCUUCAGCAGGCCGAUGUGAGCAAAGGGCCAGGCCCUGGUGAAGUGAGCAGCAUCCUCUCCCUCCCACGCCCGGGGGACUCACCUGGCAGGCAUCCUUCUUGCCCUUGCGGUAACCAGCACACAGCAUGCGUGGCGUCACCUGGUAGCGAUAGGCCUCGCUGCACAGGUCCUGUGGGAUCAGCUGCACAUCUGCUUUCUGCAGAGCGUUGCUGGUGGGGCCUGUCCAUGGUCAAGGGCAGAGGCUGCGGAUGUUCUCAGGUCUUCCUGUCCUGACACCUGUGUCUUCACCUGAAUGUCUCCUGUUUGGACACUGCCACCUCAUCCUCCAGGCCUCAGCUUCAACAACUCUCCCCUGAAGCUUCCCCUGACCCGACCUGGGCAGGGGCCUCCUCUGUGUCUUCAUGGUUCCUGCACCUCCCCGUCCAUGUCGGCCCUUACCGCUGUCUCUCUACCCCCCGAGAAUGUCCUCUUCAUCCUUACGUGCCCUUCCCCUAGCACCAUGCCUGGCACAUAGUUGAUGCUCAGAAACAUGUCACUGAGUGACUGAAUGAGUAGGCGCAUAGUGAAUGAACCAACCUUUGCUUUGCCAUGAUUCUGCCAUCCCCCUGGGCAAGUCACUGUUUCUCUGAGCCUCAGUUUGCCCCUUAAAAUAUCUCUGCGGCCCUGCCUGCCUCCAGAUUGUAAGUCAUUGUAUAGAAGCCACCAGCACUGAGGCUGCAGGGCAUGGCUGUAGGUUUGCCAGCUGGGCCUGUGUCCACAGAACUGUGCAGUGGCCUCCAGGGAUGGCCAGCUCUGGUCAGUGAAGGUAGAAAGGGGAGAGACCCCAUUUCUGAGAGCAGAAGCAGGAAGAGCGGGAGCUCUAGAGGCCCCAAAGUCCUGGGUUCCCAUCUCUGCUCCAGACCUCUCUGGCUGUGUGACUUACAGCAACAUGUCUCUGAGCCUUGGUCUCUCCAUCCAUAAAAUGGGCCCACAGCAUCCGCCCCAGGGCUGUUGGGUGGAUCCUAUGAAGUCACGUUCUCUUAAAAUCCAGCCUCGUGUGGAAAGUGCUAAUAAUUCAGAGCCUCCACCCUUGUAGCCCCAGGAGGAGCGGGUGGAGCUUGCACGUGGCCAAUGGUCCCAGACCUGCCCCUUUGCCCCACAGGAAACGCCCUUCCAGAAGGAAGGGAAGAGCUGGGAGGGUAGGGGCAGGGGGCCUAUGGGCCGCACUAAAUGGUGGUUUUCUACUGUAAAAAUUCAGCCCAAUUUGGAUCCCAGGACUAGAGGGCCCGUGGGUGGAGCCCCAGGGCGUCCAGCCCCGCCCUUCCCCUGGCC
Molecule: long non-coding RNA, 1575 nt
Organism: Cebus imitator (Panamanian white-faced capuchin)
Lineage: Eukaryota; Metazoa; Chordata; Mammalia; Primates; Cebidae
Exons: 3
Source: RefSeq, a predicted model, not a curated record